CAAUGUUUUAUAUGGAGUUUGUAUGAAUGCUACUUUUUACUAUUUGUUAAUAUGCUAGUUAAUAUUUAAUAUAGAUUUAUCAAUAACGUGAUUAGACAAUCAAUAAUGAAAUACCAAUCGAUCAGUAUAAUUUCAUAUGAAUUUGGUUGAAGAUCGCGGGGAACAUUACGGAAAACCGUCAUACGGUGGUGUAGAGGCUGGGUGAGAAUGACACGUGUUGCAUCAUCAUCAAGCAGGUACAAUAGCCGCAAGGCUUAAGAGGUGGUUCAGUAUUAUAAAAAAUCGUUGAAAAGGAGGGAGAAAAGGCUUUCGAAAUCAGUUGAGUGAGCAUCCCCGAUACGGCAUCAACUGCUGUGCACUAUUUGUCACCAAUUACAUUCUUCAUUGUGUCAUUAGUUCGCGAUCAUUAUUGUAAAAAAGGAGAGAAAAGGCGAAAGUCAGUCGAGUGAUCAUCUCCGUUGGGUCGACCACUGAUUUACCGAUGUCUCCUUGGUAUGGCGGAUAUCAAAGCACAACACUACUAUCUUAUUUCUCAGCAUCAACCAACGCCGUUCCAGCUUACUACACCAAGGCCCCAAAGUACUACACCAUAACACCAAGGCUUUAGAGUAUUACAAGUUGUAUUGCAGGAUAGAAAAGGCGAAAUAAUCAGUCAAGUGAUUAUCUCCGACACGACAGCAACUGUCGUGAACUAUUUUUCACCAACUGUAUUCUUCAUCGUAUAUAGCGUAAACUGUGGCGUCGUGCUGCUGUUGGUUGUUGUCCUCAAAUACUACACCACCGAGGCUUCAGAAUAUUACACUACAACUUAUGCUGCCCCGAGCUGCAUCACCAUUUAAAGCUGCUGACUACUAAGGUGAAGCGUCCAAAUACUGCACCACCAAGACUAACCACUACUUAUGCUGCCCCGAACUAUUACACCGAAGCCUCGAAGUAUUUUUCUGCCCCGAUGCCGAGUCUUUCACUAGGGCCCUGGCGUACUACACAAAAACCUACGUUGCCCAAGCUCACUACACCAUAGCUUCCAAGUACUACACCACCAAGGAAAGGGGAAAUCAUUCGAGUGAUCAUCUCCGAUUCGACAACUGCUGUGCACUAUUUGUCAUCACCUGCAUUCUUUGUCGUAUCACCAGUUUGCAAUCAUUGGUAAAUUUUCUGUUUUCUACAUGAAGUUGUGAAUCAACUUUAUUUUAUCAUAUGCUAGUUAUUGGAUACAUGUUCAAAUUGUUUAAUGUCUUGUAAACUAUGGCGUCAUGCUGCUGUUGGGUGUUGAAUCGUUGAUGGCUGGUUCGAUAAUUGGUGUACCGAUGUCUCCUGAGUAUGGUGGAAAUCAAAGCACAUCACAUCACAUUGCCGUCUUAAUACUCUACAUCAACCAACGCUGCUCCAGCUUAGUACACCAAGGCUCUAAAUUACUACACCACUACCUUCAGAAUAUUACAAGUUGUAUCGCAGAAGAGAAAAGGUGAAAUCAUUAUUCGAGUGAUCAGUUCCGACACGAUAAGAACUGCUGUGCAUUAUUUGUCAUCAACUGCAUUCUUCGUCGUAUCACCAAUAAGCAAUCAUGGUAAACUGUGGCCGUGUGGCGUCGUUCUGCUGUUGAUUGUUGACCUCAAGUACUAGAACACGGAGUCAUCGAAGUAUUAUUCUGCCCCGAGCCCGAGUACUUCACUAAGACCCUGGAAUACUACACUGCAACCUACCUUGCCUCAGCUCACUACACCGUGUCUCCUAAGCACUACACCACCAAGGCACCUGAAUACUAGACGACUACGUGUGCUGCCCCAACCGACUACACUGAGACUCCCAAGUAUUACUCUGCUUCAGUUACUACGUCGUGGCUCCAACUUACUACACCACCAAAUCGGCUGAAUGUUACGCCGAAGUGCCUAAUUACUAAACAGCCCAGAGCUACACAAUCACCACUGAGGCGGCGGAGUACUUCGUAGCCCCGAAUCACUACACAGCUGCUUCUUCUUACUACGUUGAACUAAAAUACUACACCGAGACUCCAGUUUAGUACAACCUACGCUACAUUUAACUUUUAUAUUGAAGCCUCCAAGGACUACACCGGAAAGGUCGAAUUUUACACAACGUACGCUGCUCCAGUUUACUACAUCGAGGAACCUAAUCGAUAAAAGGAGAGAAAGGCGAAAAUCUGCAACACGACAACAUCUGCUGUGCACUAUGUGUCAUCAACUGCAUUCUUCGUCGUAUCACCAGCAGUUUGCAAUCAUGGUAAAGUAUGGCGUCAUGCUGCAGUUUGGUGUUGAAUCAUUGAUGGUUCGGUCGACAACUGGGUAUGGCGGAUAUGAAAGCACAGUAUUUUCGUCUUAUUACUCAACAUUAACCAACUAUUAAUAACAACAUCAACCAUCGCUGCUCCAGCUUACUACACCAACAAGUCUUCAGAGUAUUAAAAAUUGUACCACAGGAGAGAAAAGGUGAAAUAAUCAGUCGAUUAUCAUCUCCGAUACGGAAACAACUGCCGUGCAUUAUUUGUCACCAACUGCAUUCUUCAUCGCGUAAAGGGUAAAUUUUCAGUGUUCUACAUGGAAUUGUGAAUCAGCUCUCCUUUCUUUUAAUCAUGUCAGAUAUUAUUGCAUUUAUGUUCAAAUUAUUUAUUGUUUAAACUGUGGCGUCAUGCUGCUGUUGGUUGUUGUCUUCCUAAAAUUUUUAAGAAAAUUUGGAUGAAGAAAUAUGGACGAAAAUGACAUGAAGAUUUAUUGUAAUAAGGAAGAAAUUUGGAAAAAAUAUUAAUAGUUUAAUACUGUAUUGUAUGCUUUAAAACUUAGUAAAUGUUUCUCUUGUUUUUAACUUUUCCUGUUAAAUUCUGUUCCCUUUCUAAAUACAUUACACAAUUACUAAAUGUAUAUUAUGCUUGCUUAUUUUAUUAUUUAAUUUCUAAAAUCACAAUUAAUUAAUUAUUAAGAUGCCUAAUGUUAAUUGAUAAUAUCAGAUAGUUACCUGGACAAAGCAGAAAACUGUGCAAAAAGUGCAAUAGCCAUUUUAACUAAGGUAUAACUAAUCAUAAACAUUUUUUUUCAAUCUCAUGAUGCUACAAAAAUUUUCAUCAAAUCAACCAAGUCCUCAUUCGACUCGACCAUCACCCUCCUCUUCCUUCUCCUACCCCAAUGGGUGACAAGUGCACACCGGGAGCGUUGGUUAGUACUGUCAGUUUCCAAACUAUAACGGUGGUGAGUAUCUCACUCUGAAAGGCGAAAAUAUUUAGUUUUAAAUUUCAAGUAAUAUAUAGCAACAGCAAGUAAUACCUCAAAUCUAUCAAUGUAGGAAAGGAAUCUUGAAAAUUUACCACAAUUUGACAGGGGAAGUCAACCUGAAAUAUUAUCAUAGAAAUUAAAUGACAGUAGGAACUAUUUAGCUUUGGAAGACGUAGGCACAUAGCUUGGGUUAGUGGAUUGGAUAACUUGAUUUCUAUGGUCACAAGCACCUAAGUCACAUGAAAACUUCAGCUGAAAUUUAAGCUGAAACAUUAAGUCAGAAAGCAACAAGAACCAUUAGCUAUAUGUUGUGUUAUCUAUUAAUUAAAAACAGUCCAACUUACCUAAAAUUCCUAAUCUAAAUUUGUUUAGAUUUUUGUAAGUAUCAUAUGAUGAUGUAUUUUGUAUUGUGUAACUUAGGACCAGACGAAGCCAGGCAAGCUGUCACAUUCCAAUGCUGCUCUCCAAUUAUCAACUGCCAUUGUAACCUACAGAAGAAAAUAAAGAUUUAUCACAGAUGCCCAGUCCCUAGACGCCUAGACGAGUGAUGAUCGAACGAACCAGGAACAUGCUGUUGUUGUCAGAUAGGGUAGUGUGGAA
Long non-coding RNA from Daphnia pulex (common water flea), 3821 nucleotides. RefSeq lists it as uncharacterized. The record is from RefSeq and is a predicted model, not a curated record. The transcript is spliced from 8 exons. NCBI's taxonomy places the organism in Eukaryota, Metazoa, Arthropoda, Branchiopoda, Diplostraca, Daphniidae.